GAUGAAGAACGUAUCGAAAUGCGAUAAAUAAUGUGAAUUGCAGAAUUCAGUGAAUCAUCGAGUCUUUGAACGCACAUUGCGCCCCCUGGUAUUCCGGGGGGCAUGCCUGUCCGAGCGUCAUUGCUGCCCUCAAGCACGGCUUGUGUGUUGGGCCCCCGUCCCCCCCUCCCGGGGGACGGGCCCGAAAGGCAGCGGCGGCACCGCGUCCGGUCCUCGAGCGUAUGGGGCUUUGUCACCCGCUCUGUAGGCCCGGCCGGCGCCUGCCGACCACCAUCAAUCUUUUUUCAGGUUGACCUCGGAUCAGGUAGGGAUACCCGCUGAACUUAAGCAUAUCAAUAAGCGGAGGA
Molecule: unclassified non-coding RNA, 347 nt
Filed under: soil metagenome
Description: partial contains 5.8S ribosomal RNA, internal transcribed spacer 2, and large subunit ribosomal RNA
Rfam family: 5.8S ribosomal RNA (bases 1-120)
Source: RNAcentral